GACGAACGCUGGCGGCGUGCUUAACACAUGCAAGUCGAGCGGUAAGGCCCUUUCGGGGGUACGACGAGCGGCGAACGGGUGAGUAACACGUGGGUGACCUGCCCUCAGCUCUGGGAGUAAGCCUGGGAAACCGGGUACUAAUACCGGAUAUGACCCCACUGACGCAUGUUGUGGGGUGGGAAAGCCUUGUGCGGCUGAGGAUGGGCCCGCGGCCUAUCAGCUUGUUGGUGGGGUGAUGGCCACCAAGGCGACGACGGGUAGCCGGCCUGAGAGGGCGACCGGCCACACUGGGACUGAGACACGGCCCAGACUCCUACGGGAGGGCAGCAGUGGGGAAUCUUGCGCAAUGGGCGAAAGCCUGACGCAGCGACGCCGCGUGAGGGGUGA
RNAcentral lists this ribosomal RNA (387 nucleotides) under uncultured bacterium. Its description in RNAcentral is "bacterial SSU rRNA". It matches the Rfam family "Bacterial small subunit ribosomal RNA", at positions 28 to 411 of the family's 1533-position model. The record is from RNAcentral.